AACGAACGCUGGCGGCAGGCCUAACACAUGCAAGUCGAACGAAUACGACCCUAGCUUGCUAGGGAAACGGUUAGUGGCGGACGGGUGAGUAACGCGUGGGAAUGUACCUCAUAGUACGGGACAACAGUUGGAAACGACUGCUAAUACCGUAUACGCUCUUCGGAGGAAAGAUUUAUUGCUAUGAGAUCAGCCCGCGUUGGAUUAGUUAGUUGGUGGGGUAACGGCCUACCAAGGCAACGAUCUAUAGCUGGUUUGAGAGAACGAUCAGCCACACUGGAACUGAGACACGGUCCAGACUCCUACGGGAGGCAGCAGUGAGGAAUAUUGGACAAUGGGCGAAAGCCUGAUCCAGCCAUGCCGCGUGAGUGAUGAAGGCCUUAGGGUUGUAAAGCUCUUUCAGUAGAGAAGAUAAUGACGGUAUCUACAGAAGAAGCCCCGGCUAACUUCGUGCCAGCAGCCGCGGUAAUACGAAGGGGGCUAGCGUUGUUCGGAAUUACUGGGCGUAAAGCGUGCGUAGGCGGCUUGUUAAGUUGGGUGUGAAAUCCCGGGGCUCAACCCCGGAACUGCAUUCAAAACUGGCAAGCUAGAAUCCGAGAGGGGGUAGUGGAAUUCCUAGUGUAGAGGUGAAAUUCGUAGAUAUUAGGAGGAACACCGGCGGCGAAGGCGGCUACCUGGCUCGGUAUUGACGCUGAGGCACGAAAGCGUGGGGAGCAAACAGGAUUAGAUACCCUGGUAGUCCACGCUGUAAACGAUGAGUGCUAGAUGUCGGGCAAUAGCUCGGUGUCGUAGCUAACGCGUUAAGCACUCCGUCUGGGGACUACGGUCGCAAGACUAAAACUCA
This 841-nucleotide ribosomal RNA is filed under the name uncultured organism. RNAcentral's name for it is "bacterial SSU rRNA". It matches the Rfam family "Bacterial small subunit ribosomal RNA", at positions 28 to 903 of the family's 1533-position model. The record is from RNAcentral.